AGCAGCCGCGGUAAUUCCAGCUCCAAUAGCGUAUAUUAAAGUUGUUGCAGUUAAAAAGCUCGUAGUUGAAUUUCGGGGUUAGUAGGUUGGUCAUGCCUCUGGUAUGUACUGGUCUCACUGAUUCCUCCUUCCUGAUGAGCCGUAAUGCCAUUAAUUUGGUGUCGCGGGGAAUUUGGACUGUUACUUUGAAAAAAUUGAGUGUUUAAAGCAAGCUAACGCUUGAAUACAUUAGCAUGGAAUAAUGAAAUAGGACGUUCGAUCCUAUUUUGUUGGUUUCUAGGAUUGACGUAAUGAUUAANAGGGAUAGUUGGGGCAUUAGUAUUCAAUUGUCAGAGGUGAAAUUUCUUGGAUUUAUUGAAGACUAACUACUGCGAAAGCAUUUGCCAAGGAUGUUUUCAUUAAUCAAGAACGAAGUAGGGAUCGAAGACGAUCAGAUACCGUCGUAGU
RNAcentral lists this ribosomal RNA (447 nucleotides) under uncultured Glomus. RNAcentral's name for it is "SSU rRNA". It matches the Rfam family "Eukaryotic small subunit ribosomal RNA", at positions 569 to 1024 of the family's 1831-position model. The record is from RNAcentral. Lineage: Eukaryota; Fungi; Glomeromycota; Glomeromycetes; Glomerales; Glomeraceae.